RNAcentral lists this long non-coding RNA (368 nucleotides) under Salvator merianae (Argentine black and white tegu). Its description in RNAcentral is "lncRNA (ENSSMRG00000006534.1)". Lineage: Eukaryota; Metazoa; Chordata; Lepidosauria; Squamata; Teiidae. The record is from RNAcentral.
UAUAGAGGCAUUUCCCUAGCACCUCCAUGUAAUAUACAGGAUAGCAGCCAUUGAUGUGAGCAACCUGAUAUUUACCUUGUGUAGGAGGAUAUACUAGAAUGCUACAGAAGCAAGGAGGUGUGACUGAGUUCCAUGCUGAAGAAAUCAGAAGAGAAACUUAAGUUUUCUUGAUAUAAUAAAUCUCUGAUUUGUCCCUGGCAGACCUACAUCACAUAAAAGCGCAGUCAAAAGUAAAGAUGGAAGAAAAACUGAAGGAUUUAUUAACAUUCAUCAAUCAACCCUAGGCACCCAAAAGCCUGAAGGAAGAGAUAAUGAGACUGGAAUAUCUGUCGUCAAAUGGAAUUUAAUAUAAAGAGUUCCGGUGUCAU